CUAGCCUGCUAAAUAGUGGCUGGAUUUUUGAGUCCAGUCUACUUCUUAGAGGGAUAAGCGGUGUUUAGCCGCACGAGAUUGAGCGAUAACAGGUCUGUGAUGCCCUUAGAUGUCCGGGGCUGCACGCGCGCUACAAUGGAAGAAUCAGCUGGCCUAUCCAUUGCCGAAAGGCAUUGGUAAACCGUUGAAACUCUUCCGUGACCGGGAUAGGGAAUUGUAAUUAUUUCCCUUGAACGAGGAAUUCCUAGUAAGUGUGAGUCAUCAGCUCACGCUGAUUACGUCCCUGCCAUUUGUACACACCGCCCGUCGCUGUCCGGGACUGAGCUGUCUCGAGAGGACUGCGGACUGCUGUAUCGAGGCCUUCGGGUCGCGGUAUGGCGGGAAACAGUUCAAUCGCAAUGGCUUGAACCGGGUAAAAGUCGUAACAAGGUAUCUGUAGGUGAACCUGCACAUGGAUCAU
RNAcentral lists this ribosomal RNA (460 nucleotides) under Haemonchus contortus (barber pole worm). RNAcentral describes it as "SSU rRNA". It matches the Rfam family "Eukaryotic small subunit ribosomal RNA", at positions 1343 to 1829 of the family's 1831-position model. The record is from RNAcentral. Lineage: Eukaryota; Metazoa; Nematoda; Chromadorea; Rhabditida; Trichostrongylidae.